This 458-nucleotide ribosomal RNA is filed under the name bacterium 2611-S4-01B-2.2. RNAcentral's name for it is "bacterial SSU rRNA". It matches the Rfam family "Bacterial small subunit ribosomal RNA", at positions 59 to 506 of the family's 1533-position model. The record is from RNAcentral.
CAGUCGAGCGGUAACAGAGAGUAGCUUGCUACUUUGCUGACGAGCGGCGGACGGGUGAGUAAUGCUUGGGGAUCUGCCCGGUCGAGGGGGAUAACCGUUGGAAACGACGGCUAAUACCGCAUACGCCCUACGGGGGAAAGCAGGGGACCUUCGGGCCUUGCGCGAUUGGAUGAACCCAAGUGAGAUUAGCUUGUUGGUGAGGUAACGGCUCACCAAGGCGACGAUCUCUAGCUGGUCUGAGAGGAUGACCAGUCACACUGGGACUGAGACACGGCCCAGACUCCUACGGGAGGCAGCAGUGGGGAAUAUUGCACAAUGGGGGAAACCCUGAUGCAGCCAUGCCGCGUGUGUGAAGAAGGCCUUCGGGUUGUAAAGCACUUUCAGUGGUGAGGAAAGGAGGUUGGCUAAUACCUGACCUCUGUGACGUUAACCACAGAAGAAGCACCGGCUAACUCCGU